AGUCGAGCGGAACGACACUAACAAUCCUUCGGGUGCGUUAAUGGGCGUCGAGCGGCGGACGGGUGAGUAAUGCCUAGGAAAUUGCCUUGAUGUGGGGGAUAACCAUUGGAAACGAUGGCUAAUACCGCAUAAUGCCUACGGGCCAAAGAGGGGGACCUUCGGGCCUCUCGCGUCAAGAUAUGCCUAGGUGGGAUUAGCUAGUUGGUGAGGUAAUGGCUCACCAAGGCGACGAUCCCUAGCUGGUCUGAGAGGAUGAUCAGCCACACUGGAACUGAGACACGGUCCAGACUCCUACGGGAGGCAGCAGUGGGGAAUAUUGCACAAUGGGCGAAAGCCUGAUGCAGCCAUGCCGCGUGUAUGAAGAAGGCCUUCGGGUUGUAAAGUACUUUCAGUUGUGAGGAAGGGGGUAGUGUUAAUAGCGCUAUCUCUUGACGUUAGCAACAGAAGAAGCACCGGCUAACUCCGUGCCAGCAGCCGCGGUAAUACGGAGGGUGCGAGCGUUA
Molecule: ribosomal RNA, 503 nt
Filed under: Vibrio sp. Vb262
Lineage: Bacteria; Pseudomonadati; Pseudomonadota; Gammaproteobacteria; Vibrionales; Vibrionaceae
Description: bacterial SSU rRNA
Rfam family: Bacterial small subunit ribosomal RNA
Source: RNAcentral